UACGUAGGGGGCAAGCGUUAUCCGGAUUUACUGGGUGUAAAGGGAGCGCAGGCGGCGGAGCAAGUCAGAAGUGAAAACCUCGGGCUUAACCCUGGGAUUGCUUUUGAAACUGCUUGGCUAGAGUGCUGGAGGGGUAAGCGGAAUUCCUAGUGUAGCGGUGAAAUGCGUAGAUAUUAGGAAGAACACCGGUGGCGAAGGCGGCUUACUGGACAGUAACUGACGCUCAGGCCCGAAAGCGUGGGGAGCAAAC
RNAcentral lists this ribosomal RNA (250 nucleotides) under uncultured prokaryote. RNAcentral's name for it is "partial 16S ribosomal RNA". It matches the Rfam family "Bacterial small subunit ribosomal RNA", at positions 524 to 773 of the family's 1533-position model. The record is from RNAcentral.